Molecule: microRNA precursor, 131 nt
Filed under: Paramuricea clavata
Lineage: Eukaryota; Metazoa; Cnidaria; Anthozoa; Malacalcyonacea; Plexauridae
Source: RNAcentral
AUUAUAGCCCUGCGAAGUUGGCAAAUUUGUAUACAUUUCUAUUACGUGUGGAAAUUGGUAACUAAUUUAGUUAUCAAUUCACGCACGUAAUACAAAAGUAUACAAAUUUGCCAACUUUGAAGGGCUAUAUU